UACGUAGGUGACCAGCGUUGUCCGGAUUUACUGGGCGUAAAGAGCGCGCAGGCGGUCGUUCAAGUCGAGUGUGAAAGCCCCCGGCUCAACUGGGGAGGGUCACUCGAUACUGAUCGACUUGAAGGCAGGAGAGGGAAGCGGAAUUCCCGGUGUAGUGGUGAAAUGCGUAGAUAUCAGGAGGAAUACCGAUGGCGAAGGCAGCCCCCUGGGUCGAUACUGACGCUCAUGCACGAAAGCGUGGGGAGCAAACAGG
This 253-nucleotide ribosomal RNA is filed under the name uncultured bacterium. Its description in RNAcentral is "partial 16S ribosomal RNA". It matches the Rfam family "Bacterial small subunit ribosomal RNA", at positions 524 to 776 of the family's 1533-position model. The record is from RNAcentral.